This 64-nucleotide transfer RNA is filed under the name Strongyloides cebus. RNAcentral describes it as "tRNA-Lys". The record is from RNAcentral. Lineage: Eukaryota; Metazoa; Nematoda; Chromadorea; Rhabditida; Strongyloididae.
AGCUAGUUAUCUUAAGUUUAAAGAGUUAGGCUUUUAACCUAUUUAUGGUUUUUACCACUAGUUA